UCCCUGGUGGUCCAGUGGUUAGGACUCUGCAGUCUCAAAGCAGAGGGCCCAGGUUCAAUCCCUAGUCAGGGAA
This 73-nucleotide transfer RNA is filed under the name Ovis aries (sheep). It matches the Rfam family "tRNA". From Rfam's summary of the family: Transfer RNA (tRNA) molecules are approximately 80 nucleotides in length. Their secondary structure includes four short double-helical elements and three loops (D, anti-codon, and T loops). The record is from Rfam by way of RNAcentral. Lineage: Eukaryota; Metazoa; Chordata; Mammalia; Artiodactyla; Bovidae.